This 61-nucleotide transfer RNA is filed under the name Cyrtodactylus sp. PTM-2020. RNAcentral describes it as "tRNA-Cys". Lineage: Eukaryota; Metazoa; Chordata; Lepidosauria; Squamata; Gekkonidae. The record is from RNAcentral.
AGCCCCGCAAGAGUCCAAAAUGCAAAUUUGGAGACGCACCCCUAAAGGGUGCCGGGGCUUC